CCGACAUGCAUGCAACAUUAACACGCAACAGACGCCAUUAGAAAAUUAUCUAUGACAGAGCAUAGACCUACAUUUCAUGAGCUGAAGUCACGUCGCUAGAGACGUCUACGUACUCGUCAAAAGCCUAUACAGUAUAAAGCCAAGCAAGGUGUGGAGAGAGAUUUUGCUUAGUUGAAGCCAGUUGAAGUGAAGAUACAGUAUAAAGCCAAGCAAGGUGUGGAGAGAGAUUUUGCUUAGUUGAAGCAGGUUGAAGUGAAGAUACAGUAUAAAGCCAAGCAAGGUGUGGAGAGAGAUUUUGCUUAGUUGAAGCCAGUUGAAGUGAAGAUCCUUGAAGUUGAAGUUGGUUGAAGCAGAGGUGUGAGUGAAAGCCAGCAAGAACACAAAUAAACAGCAAGGUAGUUGUACAGUACAUGACCUGGCACUCCAAUCUGAUUUUUGGUGCAGUACCUUUAAAUUAAAGUGUUGGGGCCCCCAAAACUUAAUGGCAAAUUUCACCUGAAAUGUAGAAUAAUGUUAAAGAGACUGCCAUUUAACAGAGAAGUACGUUUGAAUAUGAAAAUUAAUGAAAGAAUACAAUAUGUGUGUUCUUAGCGUACAACAUAAAACCCAAUUUUGUAUUGUUUCAAUAGUAUUCACCUUCAAACACAUGUUCUUUUUAAAUCCUUGGAGAAGUGUGGUUAAAUGACAUUGUUUCUCACAACCUCAUAGGAUCUAAGUGAAAUUUUGCUAUAUCAAUUUGGGCAUAUUUUUGGUUCCAAACAAUUUAGAGGGGCUUUAACAUUUUAGGGACAGAAAAUUGUUUUGAGACAUUACGGUAUCUCUAAAUGACAGUGAGUACAUGACAUUUAUGUACAUAAAACAUUUAGGAUAACAUUUAUCUGUAAAAUGGGGUUUGAACAUUGAACUUAUACAUGUAUAUUUUUGGGGGUGCAAUUUAUAACGUACAAAACUACAAAAGCUACAAUACAUAGUAGCUGAACGACCAAUAUGCUCCCCGAAAUUGCAUCCGGGUGUUUAGUGUCCCUGAAUCUCCUCAAGAAAACACCACUACAACAAUCUGCAACAUUGCGCAUCACUUUAAAACCGGAAGAUAUCGACCGAUGUCACUGCAUCGGAAACCACCUACCCAUCCAAGAUCACGGCCAAAACCAGCGGCCAUCAUCGUGCAGCUGACAUCAUAUCAACAUCGACAGCGGCUGAUCGUCGAAUUUGAAAAGGAUCGGAAUAACCUGCGAGGAUCUGACUGAUGCCAAUCGUACUCUCUUCCAUGAUGCUUUCAUCGCAAGCAAGAAACAGAACAGUGAGAUACAGGCAGCAUGGUCGAUGGACUGACGGGUCAUUGUCUCUGUGAAGACAUCACACGGUAAGAGCGUGAAGAAACAGGUUCAUGACAAGAACGAACUAGACAACAUAUGAACACAAGCAUUGAAAUUGAAGGAUCAUGAUUUCCUUCGGUCCUGCAUUUUGUAUACUUUUGGUACAGUAAUAUAUUCACUAGACAUAUUUUUGUAUUUUGUAUUUAUUUGGUUUAAAAACAUGAACACGUAAAGUUCAGGAAGUGGAACUCAUAUUGGUUAAAUUAAAUAAAAUUGAAUACUGUAAACAAAAUUGAACCAAAAUAUAUACACUUGAGAAAAAUUCUGGUUACAAUAGAAUAUUCAACGAGUGAAGCCAGGCUGGCUACAUGUAACAAGACCAACGUGAGGGAUGACGAGGAAAUAGAGAAGAAGAGAAAUGUUGAGGGAGAGGGGGACAGAAAAAGGGAG
RNAcentral lists this long non-coding RNA (1766 nucleotides) under Strongylocentrotus purpuratus (purple sea urchin). Its description in RNAcentral is "uncharacterized LOC115924634, transcript variant X2". Lineage: Eukaryota; Metazoa; Echinodermata; Echinoidea; Camarodonta; Strongylocentrotidae. The record is from RNAcentral.